UACGUAGGGUGCGAGCGUUGUCCGGAAUUAUUGGGCGUAAAGAGCUCGUAGGCGGUUUGUCGCGUCGACUGUGAAAACCCGAGGCUUAACCUCGGGCCUGCAGUCGAUACGGGCAGACUAGAGUUCGGUAGGGGAGACUGGAAUUCCUGGUGUAGCGGUGAAAUGCGCAGAUAUCAGGAGGAACACCGAUGGCGAAGGCAGGUCUCUGGGCCACUACUGACGCUGAGAAGCGAAAGCGUGGGGAGCGAACAGG
RNAcentral lists this ribosomal RNA (253 nucleotides) under uncultured bacterium. Its description in RNAcentral is "partial 16S ribosomal RNA". It matches the Rfam family "Bacterial small subunit ribosomal RNA", at positions 524 to 776 of the family's 1533-position model. The record is from RNAcentral.